UCUGCAGAUAUAUAAGAUGCCAGAUACCC
Molecule: non-coding RNA, 29 nt
Filed under: Homo sapiens (human)
Lineage: Eukaryota; Metazoa; Chordata; Mammalia; Primates; Hominidae
Source: RNAcentral